AAUAUAUUAAAAUAAAAAUCUUAAUAAAAUAUUAACAUAAUUUUUAAAAUUAAAUCCUAAUCAAAUCUUAACCAAACUCUAAAUAAAUCCUAGUCAAAUCCUAAGUAAAUCCUAAUCAAACCCUAAUCAAAUCCUAAUCAAAUCCUACUCAAAUCCUAAUCAAAUUCUAACCAAAUCCUAAUCAAAUUCUAAUUAAAUCCUAACCAAAUUCUAAUCAAAUCUCAACCAAAUCCUAAUCAAAUCUUAUUUAAAUCCUAAUCAAAUCCUAAUAAAAUCUUAACCAUAUUUUAACCAAAUCCUAGUCAAUCCUAACCAAAUCCUAAUCAAAUUCUAAUUAAAUCCUAACCAAACUUUAAUAAAAUCUUAACCAAACUCUAAUCAAAUUCUACUUAAAUCCUAAUCAAAUCCUAACAAAAUCCUAACCACAUCUUAAUCAAAUCCUAGUCAAUCCUAAACAAAUCCUAAUCAAAUUCUAAACAAAUUCUAACUAAAUCUUAACCAAAUCCUAAUCAAAUCCUAAUCAAAUUCUAAACAAAUUCUAACUAAACCCUAACCAAAUCCUAACCAAAUUUUAAUCAAAUCUUAACCAAAUUUUAAUCAAAUCCUACUCAAAUUCUAAUCAAAUCCUAAUCAAAUUCUAACCAAAUCUUAGUCAAUCACAAAUAAUUUCUAUUCAAAUUCUAAAAAAAUCCUAAUCAAAUCUUAAACAAAUCCUAAUCAAAUCCUAACCAAAAUCUAACCAAAUUUUAAUAAAAUCCUAACCAAAUCCUAACCAAUUCCUACUCAAUCCUAAAUAAAUUCUAAUCCAAUUCUAAAUAAAUCCUAAUCAAAUCCUAAUCAAAACCUAAACAAACUUUAAUCAAAUUCUAAUCAAAUCCUAAACAUA
RNAcentral lists this long non-coding RNA (886 nucleotides) under Physcomitrium patens. Its description in RNAcentral is "long non-coding RNA (PPAT_LNC007829)". The record is from RNAcentral. Lineage: Eukaryota; Viridiplantae; Streptophyta; Bryopsida; Funariales; Funariaceae.